GGGAGGUAGUGACAAUAAAUAACAAUACAGGGUUCUUUUGGAUCUUGUAAUUGGAAUGAGUACAAUUUAAAUCUCUUAACGAGGAACAAUUGGAGGGCAAGUCUGGUGCCAGCAGCCGCGGUAAUUCCAGCUCCAAUAGCGUAUAUUAAAGUUGUUGCAGUUAAAAAGCUCGUAGUUGAAUUUCGGGACCAAUUUGUUGGUCGUGCCUCGGUACGUACUGGUAUUAUUGGUUUCUCCCUUCUGAAGAACCUUGAUGUCAUUAAUUUGGUGUCUUGGGGAAUCAGGACUGUUACUUUGAAAAAAUUAGAGUGUUUAAAGCAGGCAUACGCUUGAAUACAUUAGCAUGGAAUAAUGAAAUAGGACGUUCGAUCUUAUUUUGUUGGUUUCUAGGAUUGACGUAAUGAUUAAUAGGGAUAGUUGGG
RNAcentral lists this ribosomal RNA (422 nucleotides) under uncultured Glomeraceae. RNAcentral describes it as "SSU rRNA". It matches the Rfam family "Eukaryotic small subunit ribosomal RNA", at positions 459 to 886 of the family's 1831-position model. The record is from RNAcentral. Lineage: Eukaryota; Fungi; Glomeromycota; Glomeromycetes; Glomerales; Glomeraceae.